Molecule: long non-coding RNA, 240 nt
Filed under: Mytilus galloprovincialis (Mediterranean mussel)
Lineage: Eukaryota; Metazoa; Mollusca; Bivalvia; Mytilida; Mytilidae
Source: RNAcentral
GCCAACCCAAAAUCAGGUUUCUGCCAUGCUAGAAAACAAAUUAGUCAUGUGGUAUUGAAGAACAAAUAUAUUAAGAUAUUUUAUGAUGCUCAGUUCAUUUAUAAGAUGAAAAUGAUUUUUUUGACAAAAUAGGGGGCCAAAUACGGCCCUUAGUGUACCUCUUCAUAUCUAUAGCAACAGUAACAUUAUUAGCCUGUAUGAGUUAAUGAAUAGUCACGAUAAAUAUACGCUUAUAACCAG